Molecule: ribosomal RNA, 449 nt
Filed under: uncultured organism
Description: partial 16S ribosomal RNA
Rfam family: Bacterial small subunit ribosomal RNA
Source: RNAcentral
CAUCCUACGGGAGGCAGCAGUGGGGAAUAUUGGACAAUGGGCGCAAGCCUGAUCCAGCCAUGCCGCGUGAGUGAUGAAGGCCCUAGGGUUGUAAAGCUCUUUCACCGGUGAAGAUAAUGACGGUAACCGGAGAAGAAGCCCCGGCUAACUUCGUGCCAGCAGCCGCGGUAAUACGAAGGGGGCUAGCGUUGUUCGGAUUUACUGGGCGUAAAGCGCACGUAGGCGGACUAUUAAGUCAGGGGUGAAAUCCCGGGGCUCAACCCCGGAACUGCCUUUGAUACUGGUAGUCUUGAGUUCGAGAGAGGUGAGUGGAAUUCCGAGUGUAGAGGUGAAAUUCGUAGAUAUUCGGAGGAACACCAGUGGCGAAGGCGGCUCACUGGCUCGAUACUGACGCUGAGGUGCGAAAGCGUGGGGAGCAAACAGGAUUAGAUACCCGGGUAGUCCCAUGA